This 564-nucleotide ribosomal RNA is filed under the name uncultured bacterium. RNAcentral's name for it is "bacterial SSU rRNA". It matches the Rfam family "Bacterial small subunit ribosomal RNA", at positions 338 to 916 of the family's 1533-position model. The record is from RNAcentral.
CCUACGGGAGGCAGCAGUGGGGAAUCUUGCGCAAUGGGCGAAAGCCUGACGCAGCAACGCCGCGUGCGGGAAGAAGGCCUUCGGGUUGUAAACCGCUUUCAGCAGGAACGAAAAUGACGGUACCUGCAGAAGAAGGUGCGGCCAACUAUGUGCCAGCAGCCGCGGUGAUACAUAGGCACCAAGCGUUGUCCGGAUUUAUUGGGCGUAAAGAGCUCGUAGGCGGUUCAGUCAGUCGGGUGUGAAAACUCUGGGCUUAAUCCAGAGCCUGCACCCGAUACUGCUGUGACUAGAGUUCGGUAGGGGAGCGGGGAAUUCCUGGUGUAGCGGUGAAAUGCGCAGAUAUCAGGAGGAACACCGAUGGCGAAGGCACCGCUCUGGGCCGAAACUGACGCUGAGGAGCGAAAGCAUGGGUAGCAAACAGGAUCAGAUACCCUGGUAGUCCAUGCCGUAAACGUUGGGCACUAGGUGUGGGUUCCAAUCAACGGAAUCCGCGCCGUCGCUAACGCAUUAAGUGCCCCGCCUGGGGAGUACGGUCGCAAGACUAAAACUUAAAGGAAUUGACGG